UAGCUAGUUGGUGAGGUAACGGCUCACCAAGGCCACGAUGCAUAGCCGACCUGAGAGGGUGAUCGGCCACAUUGGGACUGAGACACGGCCCAAACUCCUACGGGAGGCAGCAGUAGGGAAUCUUCGGCAAUGGACGAAAGUCUGACCGAGCAACGCCGCGUGAGUGAAGAAGGUUUUCGGAUCGUAAAACUCUGUUGUUAGAGAAGAACAAGGAUGAGAGUAACUGUUCAUCCCUUGACGGUAUCUAACCAGAAAGCCACGGCUAACUACGUGCCAGCAGCCGCGGUAAUACGUAGGUGGCAAGCGUUGUCCGGAUUUAUUGGGCGUAAAGCGAGCGCAGGCGGUUUCUUAAGUCUGAUGUGAAAGCCCCCGGCUCAACCGGGGAGGGUCAUUGGAAACUGGGAGACUUGAGUGCAGAAGAGGAGAGUGGAAUUCCAUGUGUAGCGGUGAAAUGCGUAGAUAUAUGGAGGAACACCAGUGGCGAAGGCGGCUCUCUGGUCUGUAACUGACGCUGAGGCUCGAAAGCGUGGGGAGCAAACAGGAUUAGAUACCCUGGUAGUCCACGCCGUAAACGAUGAGUGCUAAGUGUUGGAGGGUUUCCGCCCUUCAGUGCUGCAGCUAACGCAUUAAGCACUCCGCCUGGGGAGUACGACCGCAAGGUUGAAACUCAAAGGAAUUGACGGGGGCCCGCACAAGCGGUGGAGCAUGUGGUUUAAUUCGAAGCAACGCGAAGAACCUUACCAGGUCUUGACAUCCUUUGACCACUCUAGAGAUAGAGCUUCCCCUUCGGGGGCAAAGUGACAGGUGGUGCAUGGUUGUCGUCAGCUCGUGUCGUGAGAUGUUGGGUUAAGUCCCGCAACGAGCGCAACCCUUAUUGUUAGUUGCCAUCAUUCAGUUGGGCACUCUAGCAAGACUGCCGGUGACAAACCGGAGGAAGGUGGGGAUGACGUCAAAUCAUCAUGCCCCUUAUGACCUGGGCUACACACGUGCUACAAUGGGAAGUACAACGAGUUGCGAAGUCGCGAGGCUAAGCUAAUCUCUUAAAGCUUCUCUCAGUUCGGAUUGCAGGCUGCAACUCGCCUGCAUGAAGCCGGAAUCGCUAGUAAUCGCGGAUCAGCACGCCGCGGUGAAUACGUUCCCGGGCCUUGUACACACCGCCCGUCACACCACGAGAGUUUGUAACACCCGAAGUCGGUGAGGUAACCUUUUGGAGCCAGCCGCCUAAGGUGGGAUAGAUGAUUGGGGUGAAGUCGUAACAAGGUAGCCGUAUCGGAAGGUGCGGCUGGAUCACCUCCUUU
Molecule: ribosomal RNA, 1298 nt
Filed under: Enterococcus faecium
Lineage: Bacteria; Bacillati; Bacillota; Bacilli; Lactobacillales; Enterococcaceae
Also listed under: 1 other name
Description: bacterial SSU rRNA
Rfam family: Bacterial small subunit ribosomal RNA
Source: RNAcentral